UUUCGCUUUUAAUUAACUUUUCGAUUUAAAGUAUUUGGUUUUAAAUUAUAAACUCGUUUUAUUUGGAAAUUAUUUGAUUAAAAGAUUCGACAUUUUAUUGGGUUUUAUAAAUCGGUUUAAUGCAGUAUCUUUUUGGUUAGUAGCACGCCGUUCUCGAGAGAGGAGGAGACUGGUGUUACAAUACUCUUUCACACCCAUUGUAGUGCUCAACAGUUGAGUCCCUAAGCCAAACUAGAGAAAUCACUACUAAUUGCUAUCUACAACUGAUUAAGUAAUGCAUAUUGCAAACGGUAAAAGAGUGAAAAUGUUGAACCUUUAAGCAAGAAAAAGGUGACAUCGAUUGAAGAAAUUCAAACUCACUCCACCAAUAUCGUCAUGAAGACUGUAUAUGUGUUACGACUAAAAACGAAAGAAAGCAAGAAAAAUCCGGCCUAAGCCACCGGGAACGUUAACUCCGGUGAAAAACGGUAGUUGCAUACUUGCAUAGGUAUUGCUCAGAGAAAAAACGGUUUUAUAUUUUGAUAUCCCCUACCUUCCAUUUAGAAUAGUUUUAGU
RNAcentral lists this long non-coding RNA (555 nucleotides) under Brassica napus (rape). RNAcentral's name for it is "long non-coding RNA (BNAP_LNC016965)". The record is from RNAcentral. Lineage: Eukaryota; Viridiplantae; Streptophyta; Magnoliopsida; Brassicales; Brassicaceae.